RNAcentral lists this transfer RNA (71 nucleotides) under Camelus bactrianus (Bactrian camel). It matches the Rfam family "tRNA". From Rfam's summary of the family: Transfer RNA (tRNA) molecules are approximately 80 nucleotides in length. RNAcentral also lists the same sequence under 2 other names. Lineage: Eukaryota; Metazoa; Chordata; Mammalia; Artiodactyla; Camelidae. The record is from Rfam by way of RNAcentral.
GGAGGUAUAGCUCAGUGGUAGAGCCCAUGCUUAGCAUGCAGAGGUCCUGGGUUCAAUCCCCAGUACCUCUU